This 310-nucleotide signal recognition particle RNA is filed under the name Acidilobales archaeon. RNAcentral describes it as "signal recognition particle sRNA". It matches the Rfam family "Archaeal signal recognition particle RNA". The record is from RNAcentral. Lineage: Archaea; Thermoproteati; Thermoproteota; Thermoprotei; Acidilobales.
CGGCGGGUAGGGCCUGGAGUCUCGCCCACCUCCCACGCCCGAGUAGGGCGUAAUGCGGGGGCCAGUAACCACGACACACAUGCUACACAAACACAGGAUCCCUAGACACAGCAAUGAGGUCCGUCCCAUGGGGCCGGCGGUGGCGGAGGAUCUCUCGGAGGAGAGAUCCUACCGCCUUUACAUGGGGAACCUGGCCAGGGCCGGAAGGCAGCAACCUAACCCAUGACGCCCGGCGUUCAUGGGGGAGCGGGCGGAGCCUAGGUCUAGGGGCGUCCUGUGUCUGUGUAGCAUGUGUGUCGUGGAGCCGCCG